CGGCCAGGGACUUGGCAACGAUCGACUAGAGUCUAGAGGACAAAGAUGGCAGAUUUUCCGUGAGAAACAUUUAUAAUUAACUGCAUGCAUGAUACUGUAUAUUUUCAGGAAUCUUGCCAACGGCAGCUGUAGUUCAUGGGGUGUGAGAUGUGAUGUACAUGUUUUGGGCGCCUCGCAAGUUCCAGACCCAAAUACAACACAUGCAAUAUCUCUCAAAAGAUAUUUCAAUACUGCACGUAGCUAUAACUAACAAUUAUUACAAGCUUGUGGGGGGGUACAGACAUUCUGUCUGUAGGAAUUGAAAUGUUUUCCGCACUUCAUUUUUGAACAAAGAAAAUUAAAAACAAAAUACU
Molecule: non-coding RNA, 353 nt
Organism: Paramuricea clavata
Lineage: Eukaryota; Metazoa; Cnidaria; Anthozoa; Malacalcyonacea; Plexauridae
Source: the annotation of a GenBank genome assembly